This 241-nucleotide ribosomal RNA is filed under the name uncultured bacterium. RNAcentral describes it as "partial 16S ribosomal RNA". It matches the Rfam family "Bacterial small subunit ribosomal RNA", at positions 29 to 286 of the family's 1533-position model. The record is from RNAcentral.
AAUGAACGUUGGCGGCGUGGAUUAGGCAUGCAAGUCGAACGAUAUCUGUAGCAAUACAGUGAAAGUGGCGAAAGGGAGAGUAAUACGUAGGUACCUGCCCUCGGGUCUGGGAUAGCUGCGGGAAACUGCAAUUAAUAACCGGAUGACGUCUCUGGACCAAAGGUGUGAUUCCGCCAGAGGAUGGGCCUGCGUCCUAUCAGCUAGUUGGUGUGGUAAUGGCGCACCAAGGCUAAGACGGUAC